Callithrix jacchus (white-tufted-ear marmoset) is the source of this 623-nucleotide non-coding RNA. Lineage: Eukaryota; Metazoa; Chordata; Mammalia; Primates; Cebidae. The record is from RefSeq and is a predicted model, not a curated record.
AUGAGAACAGAAAUGGGCUUGGGGAGCCACACACUGCCAGCUCCAAAUUCCCAAGGACAAGGAUCCCUCUGCAUUUUUACAUAUCGAACCUCUUACACGGACUACAUUCAGCUGUGAGGCAAGGAAAGCCUUGGUUGCAGUGGUUUAAACAAGCUGAAGAUGGGUUUUCUACAUAGCAUGGAUUCCGGAGAUGGGUGGCUAACGGUUGGUUCAACAGCUCUGUGACGAUAAGGGCCACAUCUCAGAUCCUUCUGCCUUGCUCUCAGUGCUUGUUCCUUCAUGGUCCCAAGAUGGCUGCUGUAUCCCCAAGAAUCAUGUCUGGAUUCAAGGAAAGAGGGGUGGAGGAAGAGGAAGGGCUAAACUAGCUGGACCUCCACCACACCUGGCCGGACCUGUCACCUUCUAUCAGAAAGUAAAACCUCAGUUAGAAGCCUGUUUCCUGCUCUCUCCUCCUGCAUAUUUUCACUUAGAUGCCCUUGGUUCAAGCCAGCUACCACUGCACCUCUAGCUGCAGAGAAAGCUAAAACAGCAGGGAACAGAAUUUUCAUGAUUGAGUACAUCGGUCAUGUUCCAUCUACUGAGACUAGCACACUGCCUCCUGCAAUAAAUCUGAGAUCCCAUUA